AGAGCGAACGCUGGCGGCAGGCUUAACACAUGCAAGUCGAGCGCCCCGCAAGGGGAGCGGCAGACGGGAGAGUAACACGUGGGAACGUACCCUUCAGUUCGGAACAACCCAGGGAAACUUGGGCUAAUACCGAAUACGUCCGUAAGGAGAAAGAUUUAUCGCUGAAGGAUCGGCCCGCGUCUGAUUAGCUAGUUGGUGGGGUAACGGCCCACCAAGGCUACGAUCAGUAGCUGGUCUGAGAGGAUGAUCAGCCUCACUGGGACUGAGACACGGCCCAGACUCCUACGGGAGGCAGCAGUGGGGAAUAUUGGACAAUGGGCGCAAGCCUGAUCCAGCCAUGCCGCGUGGGUGAUGAAGGCCCUAGGGUUGUAAAGCCCUUUCGGCGGGGAAGAUAAUGACGGUACCCGCAGAAGAAGCCCGGCUAACUUCGUGCCAGCAGCCGC
Molecule: ribosomal RNA, 443 nt
Filed under: uncultured bacterium
Lineage: Bacteria
Description: SSU rRNA
Rfam family: Bacterial small subunit ribosomal RNA
Source: RNAcentral